RNAcentral lists this ribosomal RNA (253 nucleotides) under uncultured bacterium. RNAcentral describes it as "partial 16S ribosomal RNA". It matches the Rfam family "Bacterial small subunit ribosomal RNA", at positions 524 to 776 of the family's 1533-position model. The record is from RNAcentral.
UACAGAGGUCCCGAGCGUUGUUCGGAUUCACUGGGCGUAAAGGGCGCGUAGGCGGCAACUCAAGUCAGUUGUGAAAUCUCCGAGCUUAACUCGGAACGGUCAACUGAUACUGUUUUGCUAGAGUACAGAAGGGGCAAUCGGAAUUCUUGGUGUAGCGGUGAAAUGCGUAGAUAUCAAGAGGAACACCUGAGGUGAAGACGGGUUGCUGGGCUGAUACUGACGCUGAGGCGCGAAAGCUAGGGUAGCAAACGGG